GUGCCCUUUUAAAGUUGACGCAGUGCUUUAAGAGGCUAACACAGAAGGGUAAAGUAAGUCUCCAUAAAACCCAGAGAAGAGAUUUUUUAAAAAAACUCCUCUUUGGAUCCUGUCUGGAGUCACAGCU
This 127-nucleotide small nucleolar RNA is filed under the name Microcebus murinus (gray mouse lemur). Its description in RNAcentral is "Small nucleolar RNA SNORA26". It matches the Rfam family "Small nucleolar RNA SNORA26". Rfam says of the family: The snoRNA HBI-6 belong to the H/ACA family of snoRNAs, guiding the pseudouridylation of position U4522 if the 28S rRNA. HBI-6 is the human orthologue of mouse MBI-6 snoRNA. Lineage: Eukaryota; Metazoa; Chordata; Mammalia; Primates; Cheirogaleidae. The record is from Rfam by way of RNAcentral.